AGGAGCAUGUGGUUUAAUUCGAUGAUACGCGAGGAACCUUACCUGGGCUUAAAUGCUUAAUGACGUACUGGGAAACUGGUAUUUCUUCGGACAUUUUGCAAGGUGCUGCAUGGUUGUCGUCAGCUCGUGCCGUGAGGUGUCGGGUUAAGUCCCAUAACGAGCGCAACCCCUAUUGUUAGUUGCCAUCAGGUCAUGCUGGGGACUCUAACAAAACUGCCCGCGUAAGCGUGGAGGAAGGUGGGGAUGACGUCAAAUCAGCACGGCCCUUACGUCCAGGGCUACACACGUGCUACAAUGGCCGGUACAGAGGGCAGCCACUUGGUGACAAGGAGCAAAUCUCAAAAGCCGGUCUCAGUUCGGAUCGGAGUCUGCAACUCGACUCCGUGAAGUUGGAUUCGCUAGUAAUCGUAGAUCAGCAAUGCUACGGUGAAUACGUUCCCGGGCCUU
Molecule: ribosomal RNA, 447 nt
Filed under: uncultured Bacteroidota bacterium
Lineage: Bacteria; Pseudomonadati; Bacteroidota
Description: bacterial SSU rRNA
Rfam family: Bacterial small subunit ribosomal RNA
Source: RNAcentral